UGUCUCCUCCAUCUCCUCCAAGAAAUGGAUUUAAGCCCACCUCGUGUGGGCUUUUUUUU
Molecule: non-coding RNA, 59 nt
Filed under: Dechloromonas denitrificans
Lineage: Bacteria; Pseudomonadati; Pseudomonadota; Betaproteobacteria; Rhodocyclales; Azonexaceae
Description: Betaproteobacteria toxic small RNA
Rfam family: Betaproteobacteria toxic small RNA
About the family: Overexpression in amino aid rich medium attenuates growth, suggesting role in repressing amino acid intake and metabolism.
Source: Rfam by way of RNAcentral